RNAcentral lists this long non-coding RNA (586 nucleotides) under Aquilegia coerulea. RNAcentral's name for it is "long non-coding RNA (ACOE_LNC000048)". Lineage: Eukaryota; Viridiplantae; Streptophyta; Magnoliopsida; Ranunculales; Ranunculaceae. The record is from RNAcentral.
UUUCAGGAGGAUCUAAAUUGGCAUAACAGGUUUCCGAUUGAUGUUGACCUCCAACAACAUAGACAAGCUUAACAGUAACAGUAACAGUAGCACAACCAAAGUUCCAGAGUAAAUUGCAAUCUGACAUUUUUUUCAUGAGUAAGUUUUUGUGUAUCUAACACAUACCAAUCGUAGAAAGGCUUUUCAGGCCGCCAAAGCUCCGCUCAAAACAGAGAUAUGCAAGGUUGUUGGAAUCGUAAGAGGGAAUUCCCAUUUUUUUUUUAAAGAAAACCACAAUCACGAUUCACGAUGAAAGAUAGAUGGUUAUGAUGAUAAUGACAGAAAAAUAGAUGAAACCUUAACUAAAGGUUGCCUUCUUCUUCAAGUUCAUGCCAUCUUUUUUAAUUAUAAUUAAUAUACUAUAUUUAUAUUACAGUAUACGUAUAAUUAUUACUGUACAAUAAUUUACUCUACUUGCUUUGUUAUUAAACCCGGUUCUUUUUAUACCCGACACCCGAUCUGGGUUUGGACAAAUCCGGGUUUAAAUUCAGGCUUGUCCAAAUUCCAGACCUACUGUAUUUCAGCUCUAUUGUCAGAAGCUCAAACU